RNAcentral lists this ribosomal RNA (301 nucleotides) under uncultured bacterium. Its description in RNAcentral is "partial 16S ribosomal RNA". It matches the Rfam family "Bacterial small subunit ribosomal RNA", at positions 509 to 807 of the family's 1533-position model. The record is from RNAcentral.
CAGCCGCCGCGGUAAGACGAACCGUGCGAACGUUAUUCGGAAUCACUGGGCUUAAAGCGCGUGUAGGCGGGAGGGCACGUCCGUCGCUGAAAUCCCCCGGCUCAACCGGGGAACGGGCGCGGAUACGACUCUUCUGGAGGAACGUAGGGGGACCUGGAACUUCCGGUGGAGCGGUGAAAUGCGUUGAGAUCGGAAGGAAUGCCCGUGGCGAAAGCGAGGUCCUGGACGUUUACUGACGCUGAGACGCGAAAGCCAGGGGAGCGAACGGGAUUAGAUACCCCGGUAGUCCCUGUCUCUUAUU